RNAcentral lists this long non-coding RNA (1257 nucleotides) under Anas platyrhynchos platyrhynchos (common mallard). RNAcentral's name for it is "lncRNA (ENSAPLG00000029567.1)". Lineage: Eukaryota; Metazoa; Chordata; Aves; Anseriformes; Anatidae. The record is from RNAcentral.
AGAAAAGUAGUUUUCUAAGGUACCUGUAACUACAUGUUAGAAGCUGACUUGGUAAACUGUGGAAGAGGAAAAAUCCCUGCCUUUCUGUAAAUAUUUUUCAAAAUAAAAAUGUUAAACCCUCUUCAGAAAAUUUGGCAGGUGAUUCAGUUAAGGAAAAAAAUAAUCAGUAGGUUAGUUUUAAUGUCGAUGGUAGCACGGGGAAUUUGUGCUGGUGUGUUCCAGGUGCACACAGUUAAAUAGCAGGCAGUUGGGGUGCUGAGCGGUGCUAGUUUACUGGCCUUUAUUUCAGGUGAGGCUGGGGGUUGAGCCUGAGGUCAGGGCUGAAUAUUUAGAAGUACAACUUGAUGUUUAAAAGGCAAGAUUAGAAGAGGGACUCAAAUGAAGGUUUUGCAGUAAAGAAGUGCAGGGGCUAGUUGGGAGUUAUGGGUGUAGUUGUCUACGCUGUGAAAAUAGCCAAGGCUAUUGUGGCUCUUGUAGGCUUUCUUCAGCUCUACCUUUAAAAGAAACUUAAAGUUGCUCAUAAAAGAAAUAGCCAUUUAUCUGUCUGCAGGGAGAAUAAGCACAGAUUGCUGAUUUCUUCUUAGAAAAGCGAGUGUCAGGAAUCAAAGCAGCUGCUAAAUUUGAUCGUAUGCUUUCUUUUCUGUAGACCAGUGCAUACUAACAUCUCCUUUGCCCUGUGUUAACCCCACACAAUGCAAUGUAGAAAACUAGUUGCAGCCUGUCCUUACUGUGCUUUCAGGCAUGUCCAAUACAGUCCAACAGAUCUGCACAUUCAAGCCUGCUCAAAUGCUUGAUUUAUUUCAAAAGCAGUCAUUGAAAGGCCAGAAACCUUUGGAAGGAAAAAAAAAAAAAAAAAGUAGCAUCAUGUCUGUUUUAGUGUGAGUGGGGGAUUGUGAGCACACCUGGCUCUGCUUCCUCACCUGUUCUCAAUCACACUUGGUGAGCUCUGAGUCUUAAAGCCCUGGGAGGGAGCUUGUCCUCUUCCCCUGAAGGGUGGUUGUGCUGCCUGGUCUCCUCUCUGGAUUCUGGACUUGGCUGCCUGGCUGUGUCCCCACGCACCUGAGAGCUCUGCUGCUGAACUGGCUCAUCUGAAGGUUGGUGGGGUAUCCUCAGUGUUCUGGCUUGGAUGCCAAGCUGGUGAGAAAUGGUCAAGAGCCAGUUACUGGCAGUGGUGUGUGGAUCUUACACUGUCAGCCCCAGGGAGCCAGCUUGUUUCUGCCCUUGAGAGAGAUGUGUGGUGCCUCCAUCGUCAGUGCU